This 478-nucleotide ribosomal RNA is filed under the name uncultured bacterium. RNAcentral's name for it is "partial 16S ribosomal RNA". It matches the Rfam family "Bacterial small subunit ribosomal RNA", at positions 28 to 523 of the family's 1533-position model. The record is from RNAcentral.
GACGAACGCUGGCGGCGUGCUUAACACAUGCAAGUCGAACGGUAAGGCCCUUCGGGGUACACGAGUGGCGAACGGGGGAGUAACACGUGGGUGAUCUGCCCUGCACUUCGGGAUAAGCCUGGGAAACUGGGUCUAAUACCGGAUAGGACUCCUGGCUUCAUGGUUGGGGGGGGAAAGCUUUUGCGGUGUGGGAUGCGCCCGCGGCCUAUUAGCUUGUUGGUGGGGUAAUGGCCUACCAAGGCGACGACGGGUAGCCGGCCUGAGAGGGUGACCGGUCACACUGGGACUGAGAUACGGCCCAGACUCCUACGGGAGGCAGCAGUGGGGAAUAUUGCACAAUGGGCGCAAGCCUGAUGCAGCGACGCCGCGUGAGGGAUGACGGCCUUCGGGUUGUAAACCUCUUUCAGCUAUGACGAAGCGCAAGUGACGGUAGUAGCAGAAGAAGGACCGGCCAACUACGUGCCAGCCGCCGCAGUAA